Molecule: ribosomal RNA, 649 nt
Filed under: uncultured bacterium
Lineage: Bacteria
Description: bacterial SSU rRNA
Rfam family: Bacterial small subunit ribosomal RNA
Source: RNAcentral
GAGGUGCGAAAGCGUGGGGAGCAAACAGGAUUAGAUACCUUGGUAGUCCACGCUGUAAACGAUGUCUACUAGCCGUCGGGGUCCUUAGUGACUUUGGUGGCGCAGCUAACGCGAUAAGUAGACCGCCUGGGGAGUACGGCCGCAAGGUUAAAACUCAAAUGAAUUGACGGGGGCCCGCACAAGCGGUGGAGCAUGUGGUUUAAUUCGAUGCAACGCGAAGAACCUUACCAGGUCUUGACAUCCUCGGAACUUGGCAGAGAUGCCUUGGUGCCUUCGGGAGCCGAGUGACAGGUGCUGCAUGGCCGUCGUCAGCUCGUGUCGUGAGAUGUUGGGUUAAGUCCCGUAACGAGCGCAACCCUUGUCCUUAGUUGCCAGCACGUCAUGGUGGGAACUCUAGGGAGACUGCCGGUGACAAACCGGAGGAAGGUGGGGACGACGUCAGGUCAUCAUGGCCCUUACGACCUGGGCUACACACGUGCUACAAUGGCUGGUACAGAGGGUUGCGAAGUCGCGAGGCGAAGCUAAUCCCUUAAAGCCAGUCGUAGUCCGGAUCGGAGUCUGCAACUCGACUCCGUGAAGUCGGAAUCGCUAGUAAUCGCGGAUCAGAAUGCCGCGGUGAAUACGUUCCCGGGCCUUGUACACUCCGCCC